Molecule: long non-coding RNA, 1744 nt
Organism: Cynoglossus semilaevis (tongue sole)
Lineage: Eukaryota; Metazoa; Chordata; Actinopteri; Pleuronectiformes; Cynoglossidae
Exons: 4
Source: RefSeq, a predicted model, not a curated record
GGAACAGAUGGUGAGGCGGAUACCAGCAGAAAAAGCAAAAUGAAGUAAGGAAGGAAAUGAGUUGUUAAAACAGACAACCCGAUGUGGUAGUAACCUUAUUGGAAUUGUAGAAGUAAUUAGGUGAAAGGUGGAGAAAUGGCAAAGAAGAGAAAGGACAGGAGGCUAACACAAACCUAAAGUCAGAAAAUGAGGCAAUAAGAGAGAAAAAUGAGUUGGAGAAGGACUUUAGGCAGUUCCAAAUGUCUCUCCAGAUGUUCCCAGAUGCAAACUCUGCUCCUCCAAGAUGACUUCACAUUAACCUGUCUUUAUUGUUACAGAUGUGGUUCUAUUAGCUGUACCACUGAUUUACACCCAGUCAGGGAGCAAACUGGGGCUCUGCUCCUACAACCCUUUCAAAACCAAAUUCCACAACUAGGAGAAGGGAGCAAUAAUGAAAGCAGAAAAGCAAGGGUGUGGUGGGAACUAUUAGGAAACAGGGAAGACAGUGCAACGUUGUGCCAUCUUAUGGCCUUACUCCUGUAAUAUGGCCUUGGGAGAGAUGUUUCAGAUUUCUCUGAUCUAGACCAAGGGUCAGCAACUCACGAUUCCAGAGCUGGAUUAUGGUGCAGUUGAAAAAUAUAAAACCUGUUUUAUUUCAUUUUUGUCUCUCAAAAUACACGAUGCUUGCGGUUGUGCAAUUUACUAAACUUUUCAACUUCCUAGAAUGUCAUCUGCGACAUUUAAUGGGAAUUAUUUGUAGCCCUGGUGUGAAAAGCAUAAUAAUAACAGUGUAUAUUUAAUCAAUCUUUAAUCAAUGGUGCACAUCGCCAACAUUUUAAAUGUCCUAUUACACUUGCAUGCACCACUCGAUACACGUGAGGGGCGGAGGGGGUGGGCCUGUAGCCCUCAACAGCCAGGUACGCAGGAAGUGAGGUGCAUAUGCGAUGUUUCUCGGGUCCUUUACGAUAUCAGCAGCGGAAAGGAAGUUAGCUAUUUGCAAAAAGGACGAAGAAAAACGGCGAGUACACUGUGAAAGGAGCCGGAUUCACCAGUACACUUACCUGCCGAGAGUCCGCAGCUGAGUGACUGAAUGAAGGAAAUGAGUUACCUCGAGAUAAACAACAAUGGAAAUCCCUGUCUGAGCUCCUGGAUUUGAAGUUGUUCCCAGUACAAAGUCGGCCCUGCAACAGCUAUUUACAGCCACAGAGACAAAACCUGGAAUGAGUGCCUUGCUUGAGGACACGUCAACAAUAAUUGACAUAACGGUACCUGACUGUUCUGCCUGCCAUCCAGACGUGUCUUCUUUGUGUAUACUACGUGUGCCAUGUAGUAAAGAGAAGAUUCAGACUCCAACCAAAGGCUGGAGCAGCCAGGGAGGAAAAUGGGACCUAAAGUGGUACGGUGUGGAAAAACGUGGUUCAACACAUGGAAACCUCUAGUAUGUUCCUGUGAACGUCCUGGGAGAAUGUGUUGUGGAAAAGGUGAGUGGGCCGAGUCUCACUUCAACUAAUCUGUGCUUCAGUGAAGACCACAGACAGACAGUUUGAAUGUCCUGAACAUAAGUGGGCUUUAGGCUGGGUGGGCUGGAUGGACCGGAGCCCAUACUUUGUUGGAGGCAUCUCAUCCCAGGGAUUACAUGGAUCCCCCUAGUCCCUUUAGGAGUUUGAUUGAGGACCAAACCAAAUACAAGCUUUAAUGUUAGUUAUAUGUUAAAGAUUGUGGGCUUCCUGCUUUGAGAGCCCCGUUGAUAAUAAACCUGAUGAAA